Molecule: unclassified non-coding RNA, 2135 nt
Filed under: Populus tomentosa
Lineage: Eukaryota; Viridiplantae; Streptophyta; Magnoliopsida; Malpighiales; Salicaceae
Description: pri-microRNA 475b
Rfam family: MIR475 microRNA precursor family (bases 1005-1132)
Source: RNAcentral
UGGGUUUUUCAUGUUUAGUGAUUUGGUUAAUUGGGUUUUAAUUUGUUUCAUGCUUUUAUUAGUGACUAGUUUUGAUUUUGAGUUUGAUAAAUUGCUGUGAUUAUUGCAUGAUCUGGGGAUUAAAACAAAAACACACUUUCUUGAUCUGGGGAUUUUAGUUUAAUUUGAUUUAUUGUUUUUUCUUAUAAUUAACUUUUAAUUUGUUUCAUGCUUUUAUUAAUAAGUAGUUUUGAUUUUGGUUUGAUGAAUUGCUGGGAUUAUUUCCUGAUCCGGGGGAUUAAAAGAAAAGGACACCUGUUUGAUCUUGGGGAGUAAAAUAAAAAAGGCACCUGUUUGAAUGGGAGGUAGUGAAGCACCAUCACAAACCCCAGAUCUUUUAGUAGAGAAGGUAAUUGUCCAGUUUUUAGAUUCUGGGACCUGCGUGAAAUAACAUAUAGUUCUGGUAUUGAUCUGGGACGCUGGUGAGCUUGAGCGCCUUUUUGGGCCUUUUAGGGUUUUGUUUCGUCAUGAACUCACGGGGCCCACGGGGAGGGCAUCCUUUUCCUGUUUAAAAACAAGAUACUCAAGAUGAGCAGAUUGCAGUGAUCUGGAGAGAAACAAUGAGAGCGACCUUUGUAGAUGAGAUGAUUGGGCGAAAAGCCUUUUUAGGGCUUCUGCAGCCGCUUUCACCUUCAACAACAAAUGGGUAUUGCGAACUUUCCUGUUUGUAUUUUUACUGUUCGAUCUUCCAGUUCCAAAUUCUCAUACCCUAACUUGCACUGCUUCUGCAUCUAGCAUUAGAUUAAAGUUUUUGUUUUUGCUAUAAAAAAACGGUGUGUUUGGUGGUAAUACCAAUCACAACAGUUUUAGAUGACUUUAUAUCAUUCAGUCAGAUGGUUGGCUUGAACCCUAGCUCAUCCAUGGUGAAAUUUGGCUGGUUAUUAGGGUGGAUUGUGCGGAAGAAACAGUAUAUGUAGUUAAAAUAUAAAGGUCAACCAGAGUUGCGCUUCUGGCUUUCAUAGUCAUAACAUCUUGAUCAAUGGCCAUUGUAAGAGUAGAAGGAUCCAUGAAGCAAUAACUCUCUUUGCUGAAAUGUGCGACCAAAUAGAAUCUUGAUAUUUCAUUCUUACAGUGCCCAUUGAUUAAGAUGUUAUAACAUUGUUCUCAAAGGAUUUCUUCUCAAAAACUGCACAUCAUGUGUUGUACAAGAUCUCAACGAAAUGGUUGAUAGCAGAUCGCUAUGUAUUCAUCCACAGUAAGCAUGCUAAUGGAUGUGGUAUCAGAUGGAAAAAUUAUACUGUGUUUCUGUGAGGAGUUUCUCAAAAUGGGAAUUUCAAUAGAAAUAUCAUUUUCAGCCCAGCAGUGUUGUGGUGGUCUUUCCUCAAAACAGUUAGGCUGCUAUAACGCAUGUAAGUUAUUGUUACCCAAUUUUCCAUCGUAAGAACAGUACAAUCUACUAUUUCCUCUUCAUAUGGUGACAUGUCUUGGCUCUAGGUCAUGCUGUAGGUUCUGCUGUACAUAUAGUAAAAAGUGAUCGGUUAUUAGACUCUGUAAUAAAAGUGGUAAAAGUUUAUUGUUGUUGGUGGUUGUUUCUGAUAAAUUUUCAUGUUUAAGUACUCUUUAAGGGUUUAUUUUGGGGACUACUUUUGUCGAACUUGAAAGAAAACAACCUCUGCCAAUUCUCUACACUUCUCCUUUAAUCUUGAUCUCUUGGCCUAUAACUUGUUUAAGGUACGAAGAUUGAUGAUUUAAUGAUGACAUCUGAUUCUGUUGAUUGGGGAUUCCUUUUCUAUUUUAUUUUAGCCUCUUGAAUUCUUUUUGAAGUUUGAUGAUCGAGACCAUGUUGCUUUACAGAAUACAGAUUCCCACUUCUGCGUCUCAAUUACUGUGUCCUGGUGAGAUACUUCUCAUGUGUGAAGAGAUUAAGUCAAGUUCAAGAAGAACCCCUUUCCCCUUGUGAUUGUGUGGUUAUCAUGUAAAUUCUCUCAAGAAUUCUUGUCAGUAAUUUCAUCUUGUCAUGUGAAUUCGCUUCUCAAUAAUUCUUCCCUAACUUAUUUAAUCUCUGAUACUGUUCUAGUGCUCUUGAUACAAAGAAGUGUUUGGGCUGUAUUCAGCACCUGUGGUAAUUCUAUUACUUGGGUAAGUCUCGAACGACA